GUUCCCUACAAGCACUUCACGA
RNAcentral lists this microRNA (22 nucleotides) under Zea mays. RNAcentral's name for it is "zma-miR395i-5p". Its record names the gene zma-miR395i-5p. The record is from miRBase by way of RNAcentral. Lineage: Eukaryota; Viridiplantae; Streptophyta; Magnoliopsida; Poales; Poaceae.